Molecule: ribosomal RNA, 465 nt
Filed under: Vreelandella stevensii
Lineage: Bacteria; Pseudomonadati; Pseudomonadota; Gammaproteobacteria; Oceanospirillales; Halomonadaceae
Description: partial 16S ribosomal RNA
Rfam family: Bacterial small subunit ribosomal RNA
Source: RNAcentral
CCUACGGGAGGCUGCAGUGGGGAAUAUUGGACAAUGGGCGAAAGCCUGAUCCAGCCAUGCCGCGUGUGUGAAGAAGGCCUUCGGGUUGUAAAGCACUUUCAGUGGGGAAGAAAGCCUUGGGGCUAAUACCCUCGAGGAAGGACAUCACCCACAGAAGAAGCACCGGCUAACUCCGUGCCAGCAGCCGCGGUAAUACGGAGGGUGCGAGCGUUAAUCGGAAUUACUGGGCGUAAAGCGCGCGUAGGCGGUCUGAUAAGCCGGUUGUGAAAGCCCCGGGCUCAACCUGGGAACGGCAUCCGGAACUGUCAGGCUAGAGUGCAGGAGAGGAAGGUAGAAUUCCCGGUGUAGCGGUGAAAUGCGUAGAGAUCGGGAGGAAUACCAGUGGCGAAGGCGGCCUUCUGGACUGACACUGACGCUGAGGUGCGAAAGCGUGGGUAGCAAACAGGACUAGAUACCCCGGUAGUC